This 496-nucleotide ribosomal RNA is filed under the name Microrhagus pygmaeus. RNAcentral's name for it is "partial 16S ribosomal RNA". Lineage: Eukaryota; Metazoa; Arthropoda; Insecta; Coleoptera; Eucnemidae. The record is from RNAcentral.
GUCUUUUUGUUAAUAAUUUUAAGUUUAACCUGCUCAAUGAUUUAUUUAAUAGCUGCGGUAUUUUGACUGUACAAAGGUAGCGUGAUAAUUAGUUUUUUAAUUGGAAGCUGGGAUGAAUGGUUGGACGAGAAAGCUGCUGUCUUACAAUUAUAUUUUGAAUUUUAUUUUAAAGUUAAAAAGCUUUAAUAGAUUUAGGGGACGAGAAGACCCUAUAGAGUUUUACUUUUUUGUAUUGGUUAUUUUUAGUACUUACUUGUUCAAAAGUUUGGUUGGGGUGACUGAAAGAUUAAUAAAAUUCUUUAAUUUUUAACAGUGAUUUCUGUAAUUUGAUAAGAGCUAUAGUUUUAAUUUAAAGACUAAAUUACCUUAGGGAUAACAGCGUAAUUUUUUAUUAAGUUCAUAUUUAUAUAAAAGGUUGCGACCUCGAUGUUGGAUUAAAAUUUAUUUUAGGUGUAGGUGCUUAAAUAUUGGUCUGUUCGACUUUUAAAAUUUUACA